GACGAACGCCGGCGGCGUGCAUAAUACAUGCAAGUAGAACGCUGAAGGAGGAGCUUGCUUCUCAGGAUGAGUUGCGAACGGGUGAGUAACGCGUAGGUAACCUGCCUGGUAGCGGGGGAUAACUAUUGGAAACGAUAGCUAAUACCGCAUAAUAGUAGAUGUUGCACGACAUUUGCUUAAAAGGUGCAAUUGCAUCACUACCAGAUGGACAUGCGUUGUAUUAGCUAGUUGGUGGGGUAACGGCUCACCAAGGCGACGAUACAUAGCCGACCUGAGAGGGUGAUCGGCCACACUGGGACUGAGACACGGCCCAGACUCCUACGGGAGGCAGCAGUAGGGAAUCUUCGGCAAUGGACGGAAGUCUGACCGAGCAACGCCGCGUGAGUGAAGAAGGUUUUCGGAUCGUAAAGCUCUGUUGUAAGAGAAGAACGAGUGUGAGAGUGGAAAGUUCACACUGUGACGGUAUCUUACCAGAAAGGGACGGCUAACUACGUGCCAGCAGCCGCGGUAAUACGUAGGUCCCGAGCGUUGUCCGGAUUUAUUGGGCGUAAAGCGAGCGCAGGCGGUUAGAUAAGUCUGAAGUUAAAGGCUGUGGCUUAACCAUAGUACGCUUUGGAAACUGUUUAACUUGAGUGCAAGAGGGGAGAGUGGAAUUCCAUGUGUAGCGGUGAAAUGCGUAGAUAUAUGGAGGAACACCGGUGGCGAAAGCGGCUCUCUGGCUUGUAACUGACGCUGAGGCUCGAAAGCGUGGGGAGCAAACAGG
This 763-nucleotide ribosomal RNA is filed under the name uncultured Streptococcus sp. RNAcentral describes it as "bacterial SSU rRNA". It matches the Rfam family "Bacterial small subunit ribosomal RNA", at positions 28 to 776 of the family's 1533-position model. The record is from RNAcentral. Lineage: Bacteria; Bacillati; Bacillota; Bacilli; Lactobacillales; Streptococcaceae.